Molecule: ribosomal RNA, 498 nt
Filed under: uncultured Actinomycetes bacterium
Lineage: Bacteria; Bacillati; Actinomycetota; Actinomycetes
Description: bacterial SSU rRNA
Rfam family: Bacterial small subunit ribosomal RNA
Source: RNAcentral
GCAGCGACGCCGCGUGAGGGAUGACGGCCUUCGGGUUGUAAACCUCUUUCAGCAGGGAAGAAGCGUGAGUGACGGUACCUGCAGAAGAAGCACCGGCUAACUACGUGCCAGCAGCCGCGGUAAUACGUAGGGUGCGAGCGUUGUCCGGAAUUAUUGGGCGUAAAGAGCUCGUAGGCGGCUUGUCGCGUCGGAUGUGAAAGCCCGGGGCUUAACUCCGGGUCUGCAUUCGAUACGGGCAGGCUAGAGUUCGGUAGGGGAGACUGGAAUUCCUGGUGUAGCGGUGAAAUGCGCAGAUAUCAGGAGGAACACCGGUGGCGAAGGCGGGUCUCUGGGCCGAUACUGACGCUGAGGAGCGAAAGCGUGGGGAGCGAACAGGAUUAGAUACCCUGGUAGUCCACGCCGUAAACGUUGGGAACUAGGUGUGGGCGACAUUCCACGUUGUCCGUGCCGCAGCUAACGCAUUAAGUUCCCCGCCUGGGGAGUACGGCCGCAAGGCUA